This 120-nucleotide ribosomal RNA is filed under the name Petromyzon marinus (sea lamprey). Lineage: Eukaryota; Metazoa; Chordata; Hyperoartia; Petromyzontiformes; Petromyzontidae. The record is from RNAcentral.
GCCUGUGACCAAAUCACCUGGUAUGCACCCAGUCUUGUCGGCACUCUGAAGCUCAGCAGGGUUGGGCCCGGAUAGUGCUUGGGACGGGCGACCACCUUGCAUAACAGGUUGUUAUAGGCU